Molecule: long non-coding RNA, 430 nt
Organism: Rhododendron vialii
Lineage: Eukaryota; Viridiplantae; Streptophyta; Magnoliopsida; Ericales; Ericaceae
Exons: 2
Source: RefSeq, a predicted model, not a curated record
CCCGAAUGACAAAAUAGAACAAUAAAAUAAAGCAAUAGUACAAGCACAGCAUCCAUGCUAACAAAACAUAAGGAACAACUUCAAUUCAUCAUAUUCAGUUGAUAAUUGCCGGGUGUAUGACAUUGUUUUGGAUUUCCCAGAUAAAGAACACAAUAGUAGUAUUCUCUUACAUUAACUGUACUUAAUUGCACGAAAUAACCUUGGCCGUCUCAACGUGAUUAAAUUGAUAAUGCAAAUCCCUUCAACAUCAGGAAGAACAUCUUUGUAAGUUCGAGUUAUGUUCUUUCUCAUACACUGAUGCUCGUAUUGACUGAAAACAAGUUUUCGCCCCAUACUUGGCCAAAUGGUCAAGCAACUUGAAAGUGACAGUGAAUACAAAAGCUUUUUAUUCGAUCAGUACGAAGGAGGAAAGGGGAUUAAGAGAGAGAGA